RNAcentral lists this unclassified non-coding RNA (520 nucleotides) under uncultured Glomus. RNAcentral's name for it is "SSU rRNA". It matches the Rfam family "Eukaryotic small subunit ribosomal RNA", at positions 569 to 1092 of the family's 1831-position model. Lineage: Eukaryota; Fungi; Glomeromycota; Glomeromycetes; Glomerales; Glomeraceae. The record is from RNAcentral.
AGCAGCCGCGGUAAUUCCAGCUCCAAUAGCGUAUAUUAAAGUUGUUGCAGUUAAAAAGCUCGUAGUUGAAUUUCGGGAUCAAUUAAUUGGUCGUGCCUCUGGUACGUACUGAUUUUAUUGGUUUCUCCUUCUGACGAACCAUGAUGUCAUUAAUUUGGUGUCGUGGAGAAUCAGGACUGUUACUUUGAAAAAUUAGAGUGUUUAAAGCAAGCUAACGCUUGAAUACAUUAGCAUGGAAUAAUGAAAUAGGACGUUUGAUCCUAUUUUGUUGGUUUCUAGGAUCGACGUAAUGAUUAAUAGGGAUAGUUGGGGGCAUUAGUAUUCAAUUGUCAGAGGUGAAAUUCUUGGAUUUAUUGAAGACUAACUACUGCGAAAGCAUUUGCCAAGGAUGUUUUCAUUAAUCAAGAACGAAAGUUAGGGGAUCGAAGACGAUCAGAUACCGUCGUAGUCUUAACCAUAAACUAUGCCGACUAGGGAUCGGAUGAUGUUAAUUUUUUAAUGACUCAUUCGGCGCCUUAAC